RNAcentral lists this long non-coding RNA (985 nucleotides) under Homo sapiens (human). Its description in RNAcentral is "non-protein coding MYCNOS:9". Lineage: Eukaryota; Metazoa; Chordata; Mammalia; Primates; Hominidae. The record is from RNAcentral.
AUUUCAUUCACACAAGGCACUGCCUGGGGGAGGGGGCUGUUCCUGGCUGCAGAAUUCUAGCUCUCACGAGCACGCAGACAACCGCACUCGCAGCGGUGUGGGGCCGGCUGCUCAGGGGAAGCCCCAGGCUCUCCGACCCAGCUACCGGGAAUGGUAUUUGGAGUACCUUCUACCCCCUUUGUAAAAAUGCAACCUCAGGAGUGCAAAUGAUAGCAGGGGAUUUAGAAAACUUUGCAAAUAAAAAAAAGCCUUUCUCUAGACAGAGACCAACAACAGACACCCAUAUCCACAAAUCCUUCCCCUCCCCAAAUUUGAGCAAACGCCCCUCGGCAUUCACCCGCUGCAGGGAUACUCCUGCCAAUAGCUUAAUUGGAAGCUCUCUAAGCCCACCCCUGCUCUUCCAAACCCACGACAACGUCCUCUUCCAGGGAGGGAGAGGCUGAGCCCCUGUUCCCGGGAAUGGCAGGGGCGCCCGCGCGAGGAGGGUCGCCGGGAGAGCCGCCUCUCCUCCAAGCUGGAGCAGCCGUGACCCAGAUUGCGACCGCGGCGGCCUCGCCCUGCCUAAUCCCCCCCUCUUCUUCCUCCAGGGGCACCCUUUGGAGAAGAACCCCAGCCUGGGGUGGGGACGCACCGGCUCUCCGACAGCUCAAACACAGACAGAUCUUCUAGAGCCGAGGGAAUUUCUUUUCGCAGAAGCCAUUACUCCCCCCGGUAAGGGCUGCAAAAGGAUUAGGGCGGGUCUCCUCUAGCCAGGAUGCCUUCGGGGCUGGAACUGGCUUUUCUGGGAAAACCCAGAGAUGGUUUUGUUUCGGAAGCAGAAACAGUCCCCCGGGCAUAUUAGGGCGCCCGGUGCGCACGUCGCAAUCCCGUCCAGGGCUUGCCUUGCCCCGGCGCUCGUCGCUUCCCUGGGCGCCGGGCGGUUUGCAAGCCCUGCUCCUUACCUCCCGCCGACUGCAGGGGAUCCGGAGGCGAUUCUGCGCGGGUG